RNAcentral lists this ribosomal RNA (563 nucleotides) under uncultured bacterium. RNAcentral's name for it is "bacterial SSU rRNA". It matches the Rfam family "Bacterial small subunit ribosomal RNA", at positions 337 to 916 of the family's 1533-position model. The record is from RNAcentral.
UCCUACGGGGAGGCAGCAGUGGGGAAUAUUGCACAAUGGGGGAAACCCUGAUGCAGCGACGCCGCGUGGAGGAAGAAGGUCUUCGGAUUGUAAACUCCUGUUGUUGAGGAAGAUAAUGACGGUACUCAACAAGGAAGUGACGGCUAACUACGUGCCAGCAGCCGCGGUAAAACGUAGGUCACAAGCGUUGUCCGGAAUUACUGGGUGUAAAGGGAGCGCAGGCGGGAGAACAAGUUGGAAGUGAAAUCCAUGGGCUCAACCCAUGAACUGCUUUCAAAACUGUUUUUCUUGAGUAGUGCAGAGGUAGGCGGAAUUCCCGGUGUAGCGGUGGAAUGCGUAGAUAUCGGGAGGAACACCAGUGGCGAAGGCGGCCUACUGGGCACCAACUGACGCUGAGGCUCGAAAGUGUGGGUAGCAAACAGGAUUAGAUACCCUGGUAGUCCACACCGUAAACGAUGAUUACUAGGUGUUGGAGGAUUGACCCCUUCAGUGCCGCAGUUAACACAAUAAGUAAUCCACCUGGGGAGUACGACCGCAAGGUUGAAACUCAAAGGAAUUGACGG